GAAGGUGUGUCGUGAGGCAUGCUGGAGGUAUCAGAAGUGCGAAUGCUGACAUAAGUAACGAUAAAGCGGGUGAAAAGCCCGCUCGCCGGAAGACCAAGGGUUCCUGUCCAACGUUAAUCGGGGCAGGGUGAGUCGACCCCUAAGGCGAGGCCGAAAGGCGUAGUCGAUGGGAAACGGGUUAAUAUUCCCGUACUUGGUGUUACUGCGAAGGGGGGACGGAGAAGGCUAUGUUGGCCGGGCGACGGUUGUCCCGGUUUAAGCGUGUAGGUGUGUGUUCCAGGUAAAUCCGGUUCACUUUAACACUGAGGCGUGA
This 313-nucleotide ribosomal RNA is filed under the name Salmonella enterica subsp. enterica serovar Enteritidis. Its description in RNAcentral is "partial 23S ribosomal RNA". It matches the Rfam family "Bacterial large subunit ribosomal RNA", at positions 1252 to 1566 of the family's 2925-position model. The record is from RNAcentral. Lineage: Bacteria; Pseudomonadati; Pseudomonadota; Gammaproteobacteria; Enterobacterales; Enterobacteriaceae.